AUACGGAGGAUCCGAGCGUUAUCCGGAUUUAUUGGGUUUAAAGGGUGCGUAGGUGGUUUGAUAAGUCAGCGGUGAAAGUUUGCAGCUUAACUGUAAAAAUGCCGUUGAAACUGUCGGACUUGAGUGUAAAUGAGGUAGGCGGAAUGCGUGGUGUAGCGGUGAAAUGCAUAGAUACCACGCAGAACUCCGACUUGCGAAGGCAGCUUACUAACGCUACAACUGACACUGAAGCACGAAAGCGUGGGGAUC
RNAcentral lists this ribosomal RNA (249 nucleotides) under uncultured bacterium. RNAcentral describes it as "partial 16S ribosomal RNA". It matches the Rfam family "Bacterial small subunit ribosomal RNA", at positions 523 to 769 of the family's 1533-position model. The record is from RNAcentral.